Molecule: ribosomal RNA, 489 nt
Filed under: uncultured bacterium
Lineage: Bacteria
Description: partial 16S ribosomal RNA
Rfam family: Bacterial small subunit ribosomal RNA
Source: RNAcentral
GACGAACGCUGGCGGCGUGCUUAACACAUGCAAGUCGAACGGUGAAGGGAUCAGCUUGCUGGUUCUGGAUGAGUGGCGAACGGGUGAGUAACACGUGAGUAACCUGCCCCCUUCUUCUGGAUAACCGCAUGAAAGUGUGGCUAAUACGGGAUAUUCUGCGCCUGCUGCAUGGUGGGUGUGGGAAAGAUAUUGUUUCGGUGGGGGAUGGGCUCGCGGCCUAUCAGCUUGUUGGUGGGGUGAUGGCCUACCAAGGCGGUGACGGGUAGCCGGCCUGAGAGGGUGGACGGUCACACUGGGACUGAGACACGGCCCAGACUCCUACGGGAGGCAGCAGUGGGGAAUAUUGAACAAUGGGCGCAAGCCUGAUGCAGCGACGCCGCGUGAGGGAGGGAGGCCUUCGGGUUGUGAACCUCUUUCGCCAGUGAAGCAGGCCUGUCCCUUGUGGGUGGGUUGACGGUAGCUGGAUAAGAAGCGCCGGCUAACUACGUG